RNAcentral lists this ribosomal RNA (800 nucleotides) under uncultured bacterium. RNAcentral's name for it is "bacterial SSU rRNA". It matches the Rfam family "Bacterial small subunit ribosomal RNA", at positions 8 to 803 of the family's 1533-position model. The record is from RNAcentral.
AGAGUUUGAUCCUGGCUCAGGAUGAACGCUAGCGGCAGGCUUAACACAUGCAAGUCGAGGGGCAGCACGGGUAGCAAUACUUGGUGGCGACCGGCGCAAGGGUGCGUAACGCGUGAGCAACAUGCCCGUAUCAGGGGGAUAAUCCAUGGAAACGUGGUCUAAUACCCCAUAGUAAGUUUUUGGGGCAUCUCAAAGAUUUUAAAGCUUUGGUGGAUACGGAUUGGCUCGCGUGACAUUAGCUAGAUGGUAAGGUAACGGCUUACCAUGGCUACGAUGUCUAGGGGUUCUGAGAGGAAGGUCCCCCACACUGGAACUGAGACACGGUCCAGACUCCUACGGGAGGCAGCAGUGAGGAAUAUUGGACAAUGGAUGGAAAUCUGAUCCAGCCAUGCCGCGUGCAGGAAGACGGCCCUAUGGGUUGUAAACUGCUUUUGUAUGGGAGCAAUAAGGGCUACGUGUAGUCCGAUGAGAGUACCAUACGAAUAAGCACCGGCUAACUCCGUGCCAGCAGCCGCGGUAAUACGGAGGGUGCAAGCGUUAUCCGGAUUUAUUGGGUUUAAAGGGUGCGUAGGCGGUUUGAUAAGUCAGCGGUGAAAUAUUUCAGCUUAACUGGAAGGGUGCCGUUGAUACUGUCGAGCUUGAAUUUAGUUGCUGUGGGUGGAAUGUGUGGUGUAGCGGUGAAAUGCAUAGAUAUCACACAGAAUAUCGAUUGCGAAGGCAGCUCACAAAGCUAAUAUUGACGCUGAUGCACGAAAGUGUGGGGAUCAAACAGGAUUAGAUACCCUGGUAGUCCACACUGU